AUUGAACGCUGGCGGCAUGCCUUACACAUGCAAGUCGAACGGCAGCACGGGAGCAAUCCUGGUGGCGAGUGGCGAACGGGUGAGUAAUAUAUCGGAACGUGCCCAGUCGUGGGGAUAACGUAGCGAAAGCUACGCUAAUACCGCAUACGAUCUAUGGAUGAAAGCGGGGGAUCGCAAGACCUCGCGCGAUUGGAGCGGCCGAUAUCAGAUUAGGUAGUUGGUGAGGUAAAGGCUCACCAAGCCGACGAUCUGUAGCUGGUCUGAGAGGACGACCAGCCACACUGGGACUGAGACACGGCCCAGACUCCUACGGAGGCAGCAGUGGGAAUUUUGGACAAUGGGCGCAAGCCUGAUCCAGCAAUGCCGCGUGCAGGAUGAAGGCCUUCGGUUG
This 391-nucleotide ribosomal RNA is filed under the name uncultured bacterium. RNAcentral's name for it is "bacterial SSU rRNA". It matches the Rfam family "Bacterial small subunit ribosomal RNA", at positions 30 to 425 of the family's 1533-position model. The record is from RNAcentral.